Molecule: unclassified non-coding RNA, 245 nt
Filed under: Hevea brasiliensis (rubber tree)
Lineage: Eukaryota; Viridiplantae; Streptophyta; Magnoliopsida; Malpighiales; Euphorbiaceae
Source: RNAcentral
GUCAUAUUUUAUCUAAAUAUAUUAAGUGGUUCAAGCCUUUUCCUAAGUUAAUGGCUCAAGAUGGCAAGAACUUCACUAUGGGCAAAUUAAUAAUACGAGUAUAAGGCCAUGGUGGCUAGUCCUUUAAAUCACAUUCCUAAAUUCACUAGAAGAUACUUUCUUUAAUUUGGAUUCUCUUUCACAGAAGACCCCUAACUAAAAGCUUAAAAUUAUGAUGGUGUUGUAUCUUUGUAAAAGAGUAAAAA